UAUGUGAUCGUCUCUCGCAUAUCAAUAAGCGGAGGAAAAGAAACUAACAAGGAUUCCCCUAGUAACGGCGAGUGAAGCGGGAAGAGCUCAAAUUUGAAAUCUUAAAGGGUUUCCCUUUACGAAUUGUAGUUUAAAGAAGUGUUUUCUGUUGAGGUUUUGGUAAAAGUUCUUUGGAAUAGGACAUCAUAGAGGGUGAGAAUCCCGUAUUUGACCUUUACUUUCAACUUUGUGAUACACUUUCAAAGAGUCGGAUUGUUUGGGAAUGCAGUCCAAAAUGGGUGGUAAAUUUCAUCUAAAGCUAAAUAUUGGCGAGAGACCGAUAGCGAACAAGUACCGUGAGGGAAAGAUGAAAAGAACUUUGAAAAGAGAGUUAAACAGUACGUGAAAUUGUCAAAAGGGAAGCGUUUGACACCAGUGUUGUUUUUCUGAAAAUCAAUUAAAGAACUGUUUAUGCUAAGCUGUUUAGACUUUAUCAGCUAACUGUUUAGUUUUGAGCUUUUCUUUAAUGCACUUUUCAGUUAACAAGUCAACAUCAAUUUCUUUUGCUGUAAAAAAGCUUGAGGAAGGUGGCUUGAGAUUCGUCUUAAGUGUUUAUAGCCUCUUGCCUAUGCAGUCGGAGAGAUUGAAGGUCUGCAGCGUAGAUCCUUCGGGGCUAAAUGCAUUUGUGCUAAGUUAUAGCAUUUUAUAGACAACUUGUUGACUACUGAUUUGUCUUGUAGCUUACUCGCUUAUGUUAUUUUACCUACGCUUAGGAUGUUGACUGAUAUGUAGUCGUA
Molecule: ribosomal RNA, 776 nt
Filed under: uncultured Neocallimastigales
Lineage: Eukaryota; Fungi; Neocallimastigomycota; Neocallimastigomycetes; Neocallimastigales
Description: partial large subunit ribosomal RNA
Rfam family: Eukaryotic large subunit ribosomal RNA
Source: RNAcentral